CCCGGUGGGAAACUACUGUUUUGUUGUUCCAUGGGAAGGAAAAAUACAAAGUGAAUUAAACUGAAUUAGUUCCUUGGCUGAUCUAGCAAGCCAAGGAGAACGGUCCAGUGCGAUGGCCUGGUCCACUUGACCGGCCCAACUAGAGCUUGGCUCAGCACAAGCUUCCAUCGAAAAAAAAUGGAAAGAGUCAGAACAGAGAAUCGCGAUCCCCUGCCUGAACGGCUCAAACGGUCUCCACUGAGGCACAAUUGGUGCGAACUCUCCGGUCUGGUGUGAAUGGGUAGCGGCCGUUGGGGGCUGUUGUAAUCGGCGAAUGGCCGAUCGGUGCCAUCAUUCGUCCGAGCUUAUCCCCCUCCCAAGGAUCCUAUUUAAAUCCCUCUUUCCCUCAGUCAACCCAUUGCCGCUCACCUCCCCAGCUUCUUCCUUCUUCCUCCUUCUCCAGUGGUCGGCGAACCACCAUGAUCGACUACCACCGCCCUUUUUUUCUCUUUCUUCCUCUUUUCUCGCUUUAGAAUUGCAGCAGCUUGUUACUGUGCUCACCGGAAAUCAAGGCUGGCAACAUCAUCCGAGCCAAGGUCUAGCUAGGAGUCGCCUAGCGAAGUCUGACAAUCUAAGAUAAAAAAGGUACACUAUCGCGCGGGGGGUGGUGAAACUUUGUGCAGGUACACCGUCGCGCGGGAGGUGGCUCUCCUUCCUCUGCUCCAGCCGGCAGCUCCCUUUGACUCCUCCGGCGUGGUCACCCUCGCGCCAAAUUUGAACAACAACAAUGAUUAUUAUUAUAUCUAAACUUAUAGUAUAUAAGUAUAAUAAUUUAUAUAAAUAAAUAUAAAAUAUGAGUGAUCUCUUUCUGAUAUCACUAUCUAACAAUAGGAAAGCGUCUCCUCUUGAGUACUGCUUUGUUUUGAGAAUUCAUGACAGACAAAAGUCCAGGAGAGUUGCAGCAUGGUUUUGCUAUGAAGUUUGCAGCCAACAGCUCAUCAUGGACCUAGAACAUGUCAGACUUUGGCACCACAACAUUGCGAACAGCUGCAGCGAAAAAGUUAAGCGAACUUGGAGGUUAUGCUAGUUAAGCCUACAAAGCGCGAAGCUACAUGGAAGCCGUCAGGAUGAUUAAAGGUCAGAUAUCAAGUUUUGCAAGGGAAGGACGCCUGAACUUACAAGUUGUUUAUGAUUUUGCAGUAACUGAAUGCUGUCUAUAACCUUCCAAAUGAGUUCUGAGAACAAAGCAUAAAAUCAUAAAAACCACUUUGUAGCUUUUUGAAAGGUUUUGACAACAAAAUUGUCAACAGUUCAGCAGCAGUUAGACUAUAACUUGUAUCGGCAGGAAAAUGACAUACAACAGACCAUUAUCUCGCUAAAAUGUCCAAAAGUUUUUUCCUCGUUUGUUGCUGCACUAUGAUGGUAACUAUGCUGUUAUGGCAAGAAAUACUGUUACACCAAGAAAUAAUGAAUAACAGCAGUAAGAUAAAUACUAGAUAGUAGCUAUUGUGGGAAAAUAUGGUAUCACCAUAAAAAAAUAUAACAGUUACAUAACAAACGACGGGCAUAAAUUUUCUUGUUAUAAUUUCACAUUAUUAUAGAAUAUUCUUAAAUGAGUUCAAAAAUAGCCAUUACAACUUUAUAACACUUGGUCACCAACCCACCUUGUAUGUACAAUGCAUCUUCAUAUUAUGUAACCAUCAUAUCUACAUAAUGUAGAAAGGCGCACAGAACUGCAGACUGCUAUAGGAUUAUGAGUACCAUAAUUUAAAAGCAUGAGAGAAGACAUUUUCUGGCUUCAGAUAAUAAAUGGCACAUUUUAGAGUUCUGUGAUCAAAGAGCAAAGCAAAAAAAAGGCUAAAAUUCUAAAAUUGAGAAGGGCUACAAACAUGUCAUAUUCACAAUAGAAAUUGUUUUAGUUCGAAAGAAUAACCCAACAAACUAUUCCACUUAUGAAGUUUUGAGGUAGCAAUAUAGCUCAAGCAACAACAAUGCUCGAUACCACCAGCUUCAAAAGAAUUCAAUAGCCAUGUAUCAAUGUAAGGCCAUACUAUCAAAAACCAUAUCUAAGGGUUCAAAAAGUGCAAGAACAACUCUAUCAAGUCACAAAAACAAAAAAAUAUAGUUGCAGCAUGUGAAAGAAAGAAAUUUCAGAACAGUUUAGAUACUAAAUGGUGGCAUUUGAAGUACCAUACAGAUAUCAUAGUGGAGGCAUUUGCUUCCAAAAUCAUUUUGCAUUCGCAUUGUAGAUGUCCGAAGCUUGGAUAUCUAGAGAUAAGGUGGGCGCGUUGGAACGAUCCCGCUUUGAAAGCUCCUCAGAAGAAGAAUCCAAUAGCCAUGUUGCAUUCAAUGGACAAGCUCCAUUGGUUCCCAAUUUUUCAUCCUAAAGUUUCAAUUAUAUUGCAGAACUCGAAGCUUUGGGACACCUUUUAUAGAAACAAACUGUGGUCUCACCUAUUCUCCUCGCAUGUUGACAAUAUUCAAUCUAUAAAGUUCACUUUUGAGAGUACAGCUCGGAUUAACAAGCAUAUCAAUGGAUUAAAAAGAGCACAGGAACAACCCUAUCAAGUCACAAACACAAAAGAAUAUAAUUGCAACAUGACAGAAAUUUCAAUAUAGUCUAAAUGAGACUGAUCCAAGCAGUAACAUAUCUUCAUUACAUCAUCUAUGAUCUUUCAGGUGGUAAAUUGAUGCAGCAAUCUCUUGUCUUAGUGACAAAACUUUAGCAUUUAAAAGACCAUACAGGAAACAUAGUGGAUG
Molecule: non-coding RNA, 2739 nt
Organism: Phoenix dactylifera (date palm)
Lineage: Eukaryota; Viridiplantae; Streptophyta; Magnoliopsida; Arecales; Arecaceae
Source: RefSeq, a predicted model, not a curated record